AUUAAAACACAAAUCUUCUUCUUCAAAAAAACGUCACUCUCUCUCUCCAACACCAAAACCACCAUGAAAGCUCAUUUUUGAGCUUGAAGAACCAAAAUCCAACCAUGGCCAAUUGUCCUACCAUAACUAGAUGUUGUUUGGACAACUAGGAAAGAGGAUUCAAAGAAAAGAAAGAAGAAAAAUUUGAAGAAAAGGGAGAAGAAAUUCUGCACACAAGUUGAAAAGAAUAUCAGGAAGGAACCCGAGGAAACGAGUCGAGGCUAAGGGACGACUCGCUUGAGAUAAAAGCAAGGAGAAAGCAGCAGAGUGAGCUGCGGAAUUGACAAGAUCUUUUUGAUCCCUUUU
Molecule: long non-coding RNA, 345 nt
Organism: Hevea brasiliensis (rubber tree)
Lineage: Eukaryota; Viridiplantae; Streptophyta; Magnoliopsida; Malpighiales; Euphorbiaceae
Exons: 3
Source: RefSeq, a predicted model, not a curated record